AGAGCGAACGCUGGCGGCAGGCCUAAUACAUGCAAGUCGAACGCACCUUCGGGUGAGUGGCGGACGGGUGAGUAACACGUGGGAACGUGCCCUUUGGUUCGGAAUAAUCCGGGGAAACCUGGCCUAACACCGGAUGUGCCCUUCGGGGGAAAGAUUUAUCGCCAAAGGAGCGGCCCGCGUCUGAUUAGCUAGUUGGUGAGGUAACGGCCCACCAAGGCUACGAUCAGUAGCUGGUCUGAGAGGAUGAUCAGCCACACUGGGACUGAGACACGGCCCCAGACUCCUACGGGAGGCAGCAGUAGGGAAUCUUGCGCAAUGGGCGAAAGCCUGACGCAGCCAUGCCGCGUGAAUGAUGAAGGUCUUAGGAUUGUAAAAUUCUUUCAGCGAGGGAAGAUAAUGACUGUACCUGCAGAAGAAGCUCCGGCUAACUUCGUGCCAGCAGCCGC
This 446-nucleotide ribosomal RNA is filed under the name uncultured bacterium. RNAcentral's name for it is "SSU rRNA". It matches the Rfam family "Bacterial small subunit ribosomal RNA", at positions 26 to 518 of the family's 1533-position model. The record is from RNAcentral.